Molecule: ribosomal RNA, 1352 nt
Filed under: Planctomycetaceae bacterium
Lineage: Bacteria; Pseudomonadati; Planctomycetota; Planctomycetia; Planctomycetales; Planctomycetaceae
Description: bacterial SSU rRNA
Rfam family: Bacterial small subunit ribosomal RNA
Source: RNAcentral
CGAAUCACCUUCGGGUGGUAGUAGAGUGGCGAACGGGCGAGUAACGCGUUUCUAACGUACCCCAAGGUCAGGGAUAGCUCACCGAAAGGUGUGGUAAUACCUGAUAACCCCAUCGAGUCGCAUGGCAUGAUGGGCAAAGGCUUGCUGCCCUGGGAUCGGGAAACGUAGUAUCAGGUUGUUGGUGGGGUAAUGGCCUACCAAGCCGAAGACGCUUAGCGGGUGUGAGAGCAUGACCCGCCGCAUCGGAACUGAGACACUGUCCGGACUCCUACGGGAGGCUGCAGUAACGAAUCUUCCGCAAUGUACGAAAGUAUGACGGAGCAAUGCCGCGUGCAGGAUGAAGCUCUUCGGAGUGUAAACUGCUGUCAGGGUUCAGGAAUCAAUGACCAGACCCAAAGGAAGGGCCGGCUAACUUCGUGCCAGCAGCCGCGGUAAUACGAAGGGCCCGAGCGUUGCGCGGAUUCAUUGGGCUUAAAGCGUACGUAGGCGGACUCGUAAGUGCCUUGUGAAAGCCCACGGCUCAACCGUGGAAUUGCAGGGCAUACUGCGGGUCUUGAGGCCGGUAGGGGUUGCCAGAACUCUAGGUGUAGCGGUGAAAUGCGUAGAUAUCUAGAGGAAUGCCGAUGGUGAAGACGGGCAACUGGGCCGGUACUGACGCUGAGGUACGAAAGCGUGGGGAGCAAACAGGAUUAGAUACCCUGGUAGUCCACGCCGUAAACGAUGUGCACUAGGUCCUGGAGGUUCUGACGCCAUCAGGGCCGAAGUAAAAACGAUAAGUGCACCGCCUGGGGAGUACGGUCGCAAGGCUAAAACUCAAAGGAAUUGACGGGGGCUCACACAAGCGGUGGAGCAUGUGGCUUAAUUCGAAGCAACGCGAAGAACCUUAUCCUGGGUUUGACAUGUAUGGAUUAACUCUGUGAAAGCAGAGCCACACUCUUUGAGUGGAACAUACACAGGUGCUGCAUGGCUGUCGUCAGCUCGUGCUGUGAAGUGUUGGGUUAAGUCCCUUAACGAGCGAAACCCUUAUCGUUAGUUGCCAUCAGGUUAUGCUGGGGACUCUAACGAGACUGCCGGUGUCAAACCGGAGGAAGGUGGGGAUGACGUCAAGUCCUCAUGGCCUUUAUGCCCAGGGCUGCACACGUGCUACAAUGGCGCGUACAAACCGAAGCGAUACCGCAAGGUGGAGCAAAUCGGAAAAAACGCGCCCCAGUUCGGAUUGUGGUCUGCAACUCGACCACAUGAAGUUGGAAUCGCUAGUAAUCGCGUAUCAGCUACGACGCGGUGAAUACGUUCCUGAGCCUUGUACACACCGCCCGUCAAGUCAGGAAGCCGGGAGUACCCGAAGUCGUGCC